Molecule: long non-coding RNA, 298 nt
Organism: Priapulus caudatus
Lineage: Eukaryota; Metazoa; Priapulida; Priapulimorpha; Priapulimorphida; Priapulidae
Exons: 3
Source: RefSeq, a predicted model, not a curated record
GCAGCGGAGGAGGGAGGCGCGGCUCGUGUUGCUGCGUGAUCAGCUGGAGUCGGCACGCCAGCGUCUGCAAAUCCUCGCGCUGCGUCUCCAGGACGUGUCCGCCACCGAGCGACAACGCAGAACGGCUGAUGGUGGAGAAGCAUCCCGAUCGGAGGAGGAAGCCGAGAGGGACGGCUCCGGGAGUUCGGACGAGGUUUCUCCGAUUCGCGGCGACCUCUCUCACGUGCUGAAGGAGAUACGCGGCCUGCGCACGUCCAUCCUGCUCGAGUCGAUGCUAGAGGGCAUGGCCCCCGACCUG